RNAcentral lists this ribosomal RNA (326 nucleotides) under Aerotegmina kilimandjarica. RNAcentral's name for it is "partial large subunit ribosomal RNA". The stretch from base 179 to 326 matches the Rfam family "Bacterial large subunit ribosomal RNA", at positions 2473 to 2620 of the family's 2925-position model. The record is from RNAcentral. RNAcentral also lists the same sequence under 3 other names. Lineage: Eukaryota; Metazoa; Arthropoda; Insecta; Orthoptera; Tettigoniidae.
AGACCCUAUAGAGCUUUAUAUAUUUAUAUAAUAAUUUUAUAUUUGGUAGUUUUGAUAGUUGUUAUAAAAUAUAUUGUGUUGGGGUGACAUAAAGAUAAAAUUAACUCUUUGUAUUUUUAACAUUAAUUUAUGAAUUAUUGAUCCAGUAUUAUUGAUUAAAAGAAAAAGUUACCUUAGGGAUAACAGCGUAAUUUUUUUUGAGAGUUCUUAUCAAUAAAAAAGAUUGCGACCUCGAUGUUGGAUUAAGGAAAAUUAUUAGGUGAAGUAGUUUAAUUAAUAGGUCUGUUCGACCUUUAAAUCCUUACGUGAUCUGAGUUCAGACCGGA